Molecule: long non-coding RNA, 1879 nt
Organism: Paralichthys olivaceus (Japanese flounder)
Lineage: Eukaryota; Metazoa; Chordata; Actinopteri; Pleuronectiformes; Paralichthyidae
Source: RefSeq, a predicted model, not a curated record
GCGGGCAUCACUGAAGACCUGACACCGGCGGAAUCGGACGUCCGCGGUGUCCUCCUCUGCACAAUUUAGAAAUCCGAUGGUUCUCUUCCGCAAAACUAUCACCGCCGGCGCAUGAAGCUGACCCGAUGCUAUCACAGAGAAUGAGCGCGCUUCGCCGGGAGGAGCACAACAGCUUUUUCCGUGUCCAAACGCUCGGAGGGGCGCAGGGGCGAGACAAUAACGCCCAGAAGUUAUUGAAAUGAAUCGUCUUGGAAAGAGCUGACUGACAUGAGAGGAGGAAACAGAACUAGAAGUUGGGCUUCACCGCAGAGGAAGGGAAGCAGAACCCCGCCACCCCUCCAGAGAGGAACGCGAUGAGAACAAGACGAGUGAUGAAAGAGAGGUCCAGACAUGAAGGAGGCACGCGCACACACACACGCGGCACCUAGAGUCUGUCUGCGGUCUACCACCAGCCUGCCACACACACCUAUGACUGUUACGGGCAGCAGAUUAAGUGGGCGACGCCAUUCCAGCUGUGAGAAGAUGGAAGAAGUCAAAACACACACACACACACACACACACACACACACACACACACACACACACACACACACACACACACACACANACACACACACACACACACACACAGCCGGAGGCACACGAGCAUUAAGUCAGGCAGCUAAACAGAUCACGUCGCGGUAUGAUAUCUGCAGACAGGCAGACAGAGGAGGCCGGUUUGUACCUGCAGGCGCAGAGCAACAACUCUCAGCACCCUCGCCAGGAAUUUCCUCCCCCUUCUGAGAGACAGAGGGGGGGGGGAGAAACUGAAGGUGAGAGAAAGACAUAGAGUGGGAUUUCCACUGUAACGCAAAACAGUAAACGUUAAAACCUGGCUGCUAUAUUUCCUUUUUUCUGAUCUUAAAGGUUCAAGGUCACAACAAAUUUCUUAAUAUUUCUGCUACUGAGACUCAUUGACCAAAAAAGUCUCAGAGGCACGUGGUGAGGAUUUUUUAUUUAUUUCAUAAAAAUGUAUACUUAUGUAUACUUAAUAACUUAUAUUUAUAAGAGGCUUUGUCAGUGAAAUUUGAAUUGAGAGCCAUAAUGCUCACAGGUCUUUGUCUAGCAUUACAAGUGCAUUAAUUACAUAAUAAGAACUGUAAUCAUCACAAAAUCAUAUCGACAUUCAGUGUUUUUUUAAAUUUGUUCUCUAUUUCAGUUUUAAUUUUUAAGCCCAUUUUAGUCAUUUUUUAUUUUGUUUCAUCCAGUGUGUUUUUCCAAGCAAAGGUUUCCUUUUGAAAAACCAGCUUGAUGGAGGGAUAAUCACACAAAGUUUCAGCUGAGGGCAGCGAGGCGGAAGAGAUGAAGGGGAGAAAAAAAAAGUUCUUGCGUCACAUUUUGAGUCCAACCUUCUCCUUUACCUGCGCUGAUGAAAGGAAAUCCUCUGACAUUAAAGACGAACAACUCAUUCACACGCUACUGUGAUAUCGAGCGCAGGCGGCUCUUUUGUUAUUUUGGAGUAAUCCGAUCACCUCCUGUGUGAUGUCUCUCCGGAAUUAUGAGGCUGUUUUGACAGGAUCUGUUUACGCAAACUUGUCCGGCUUGUUUUCUAUUGUGAAUGUUGUUCGGGGCAGCUUUGGCAUUUUAUUUUUUUUGUAUAGCUUUUCUCUUUCAGCGUAUGUGGCCUUUACCUGUAGUGUCCUGCAUCACGCUUAUAGUGAUUCCUCCUCUGGAAGUGACCCGGACUGUUGUCUGUUACUCAAAAGAGCAGAUUCAUUGAUUCACUUCUGUACAAGUUGGUUGUGUUGCUGUAUAAGAGAAAUUAACUAUCAGUUCACUUCCGUACAAAUUUUCCAAACUAGUCCAACAAUAAAUUUCAGGAUCUCGCUUCUCUCCCCUA